AUCUACUAAUAAACUAUGGCUCGAUCUCAGUCUCCGGUAAACGAAAAGAGUUUCUAAAGGAGGCAAUUCAUGGUGCUCCAUCGUGCGACGUCGUUCAAAGGCCAGGAUCCGUGGCGAGCUCCGAAAAGUCGUCCCAGGAGGGGAAGCUUUCGUGGGCGACGAAGAGCGCUGGACCAGUGGCGCUGCUGGCGGUGGUGGUUUCUUGCCUCUGGUUCGGUGUCCCGCCGAAGUUCGUGCUACCAAAUACUGGUUGACCAAACGCGUCUAGCUGUUGGCCCUCGUAGAUGCUGUGAUCGGUCGUCGUGUAGGGCGACGGAUGCGUCUGUGGCUGUCUCUGAGGGUCUGUAACCGUCAGCUCGAUGUUUCCGGCGGUCACGUUCUCUUCUUGCGUCUCGGCCGCGCUCGCCUCCUCCAGGCUACUGUGUUUAAUGCCGUAAUAGAAGUACAUGAUGAAACCUGCGGUAAGAACGAUUUGGGUUAGGUCUCGUGGCGCACUUGUGGGCUAACGUAGAAGCCAAGAUAUAAAUCCGGUGAUUGAAUUUACCGAGUACCAUCCAGACAGUGAAUCUAACGAGGGUCAAGAUGCUCAGCUUGAAGAUGAGAUGCUCGAGUGCAGAGACGGUGAUGACGUUGGAGGAUAUUUUUUCAAGGGUACUUACACCACUCCAGCCGUAAGGAAGGAAGCCGUUGUGUUCGCGCCAGUUGGCGCUGUCCACGUAGAACAUACCCGCCGUCAUCACGAACACCCAGACGGCGAGAUUGAUGGCGUUUAACACGUUAUUGAACACCAGGGAUUUCUUCACGCCUGCGGCCAUCAGCAGCAUCAUCAGUAAGGUACAAAACUUCGUUCCAAGAGACGCCGUUACUCGAUCGAAAUGGAACAAUUGACUAGGGAGAGUAAAAACGUUCAUCUUCAAAGGAACCUCUUUCAGGUCCGUCGUUUCGCAUUCACCAGGGAAAAGAGUGUUCUCUGAACUCGUUACCAACGCAUUUCCACUGUUCCAUUCUAAGAAACAGUAACUUGGACAGUGGAAAGCUUCUCCGAGGUAUAUAGGAAUGGAAGUCUAAAUGAAAUUCAACCUUUAAUUCUGUAGCUGACACCUUGAGCGACAAUUUAUACCCUUUUAGCUAAUUAUCAGACUCUUUUUUCAAAAGAAUACCUCGAAGAGGAGAUACAGAGAAGAAAUUCAACCUGUGGGCCUUCAAGAGUAAAAAAUAAACAAAUAGCAAGUUCAACGUUUGAACCAUUGAGAAAAUGUCUAAAUACAAAACAGACGGUUCGUUGAAACAUUUACCCAACAAUCAAAGUAUUGUUACCCAGCUAUCAGAGAGCUCGUUUGAAAUGAAAGAAAGAAACAAAUGGAACAAUCAAAGAGUGGUCGUUCGAUAAAAGGAAACGUUGAAUCGCCGGAAGGUAUAAUAAAAAGAAGAUCAGAGAGUUGGAGUUCACGUGGGCAGGUUAAAAAGCAUCGAAGUGUGCGGCUUCGCAAACCGUUUCGGAUCGAUGAGGUCCACAGGUGCUAGACUUGAUCCGCGCAAGCGCCCUUCUCGCACCCUCUUCAGCCUUUUGUUAUCCCCAGA
Osmia lignaria (orchard mason bee) is the source of this 1581-nucleotide non-coding RNA. NCBI's taxonomy places the organism in Eukaryota, Metazoa, Arthropoda, Insecta, Hymenoptera, Megachilidae. The record is from RefSeq and is a predicted model, not a curated record.